Molecule: ribosomal RNA, 402 nt
Filed under: uncultured bacterium
Lineage: Bacteria
Description: bacterial SSU rRNA
Rfam family: Bacterial small subunit ribosomal RNA
Source: RNAcentral
UGGGGAAUCUUGCACCAUGGGGGCAACCCUGAUGCAGCGACGCCGCGUGAGCGAUGAAGCCCUUCGGGGCGUAAAGCUCUUUCGACCGGAACGAUAAUGACGGUACCGGGAGAAGAGGCUGCGGCUAACUACGUGCCAGCAGCCGCGGUAAUACGUAGGCAGCAAGCGUUGUUCGGAGUUACUGGGCGUAAAGCGUGCGUAGGUGGUUGUUUAAGUCUGAUGUGAAAGCCCUGGGCUCAACCUGGGAAUGGCAUUGGAAACUGGGCAGGUAGAGGGCGGUAGAGGGUAGUGGAAUUCCCGGUGUAGCAGUGAAAUGCGUAGAGAUCGGGAGGAACAUCUGUGGCGAAGGCGACUGCCUGGACCAGCACUGACACUGAGGCACGAAAGCGUGGGGAGCAAACA